RNAcentral lists this ribosomal RNA (168 nucleotides) under Treponema sp. RNAcentral's name for it is "partial 23S ribosomal RNA". It matches the Rfam family "Bacterial large subunit ribosomal RNA", at positions 2763 to 2925 of the family's 2925-position model. The record is from RNAcentral. Lineage: Bacteria; Pseudomonadati; Spirochaetota; Spirochaetia; Treponematales; Treponemataceae.
GAUAACCGCUGAAGGCAUCUAAGCGGGAAGCCCGCCUCAAGAUAAACCAUCCCUGAGGGUUUAACCCUCCUGAAGGCGCCAGGAAGACUACCUGGUUGAUAGGGCGGCGGUCUACGUGUCGUCAUGCAUUCAGCCGACCGCUCCUCAUCCGCCGUGAGGCUUGACCAU